RNAcentral lists this long non-coding RNA (274 nucleotides) under Elaeis guineensis (African oil palm). RNAcentral describes it as "long non-coding RNA (EGUI_LNC025903)". The record is from RNAcentral. Lineage: Eukaryota; Viridiplantae; Streptophyta; Magnoliopsida; Arecales; Arecaceae.
GAAUGUACUUUCAUCUACACUUUGAUAGAGUGUGUAGAGGGCCUUCUUAUCUUUCUUUUUUGACUCCUUAUUUUGUUCUUUUGCUCUUGUGUGAGAAUUGCUUCAUCUUCUAUCGGCUCCAUGUAGCCAUCUUCUACAAGAUCUCAAACGUCAAGAGAUCCGAGCAAAGUCUUCAUUUGGAUACACCAAUUAUCAUAGUUGUCUUUGGUGAGUUUGGAUAUCUGGGAUUGAAUAAAGUUCAUGGAGGCCAUGGAUCUUUUGUGGCUUUGAUAUC